This 497-nucleotide ribosomal RNA is filed under the name uncultured bacterium. Its description in RNAcentral is "partial 16S ribosomal RNA". It matches the Rfam family "Bacterial small subunit ribosomal RNA", at positions 28 to 507 of the family's 1533-position model. The record is from RNAcentral.
GAUGAACGCUGGCGGCGUGCCUAAUACAUGCAAGUCGAGCGAACAGACGAGGAGCUUGCUCCUCUGACGUUAGCGGCGGACGGGUGAGUAACACGUGGAUAACCUACCUAUAAGACUGGGAUAACUUCGGGAAACCGGAGCUAAUACCGGAUAACAUGUUGAACCGCAUGGCUCAACAGUGAAAGACGGUUUUGCUGUCACUUAUAGAUGGAUCCGCGUCGCAUUAGCUAGUUGGUAAGGUAACGGCUUACCAAGGCAACGAUGCGUAGCCGACCUGAGAGGGUGAUCGGCCACACUGGAACUGAGACACGGUCCAGACUCCUACGGGAGGCAGCAGUAGGGAAUCUUCCGCAAUGGGCGAAAGCCUGACGGAGCAACGCCGCGUGAGUGAAGAAGGUCUUCGGAUCGUAAAACUCUGUUAUUAGGGAAGAACAAAUGUGUAAGUAACUAUGCACGUCUUGACGGUACCUAAUCAGAAAGCCACGGCUAACUACGUG